GAUGAACGCUGGCGGCGUGCCUAAUACAUGCAAGUCGAGCGAACAGACGAGGAGCUUGCUCCUCUGACGUUAGCGGCGGACGGGUGAGUAACACGUGUAUAACCUACCUAUAAGACUGGGAUAACUUCGGGAAACCGGAGCUAAUACCGGAUAAUAUAUUGAACCGCAUGGUUCAAUAGUGAAAGACGGUUUUGCUGUCACUUAUAGAUGGAUCCGCGCCGCAUUAGCUAGUUGGUAAGGUAACGGCUUACCAAGGCAACGAUGCGUAGCCGACCUGAGAGGGUGAUCAGCCACACUGGAACUGAGACACGGUCCAGACUCCUACGGGAGGCAGCAGUAGGGAAUCUUCCGCAAUGGGCGAAAGCCUGACGGAGCAACGCCGCGUGAGUGAUGAAGGUCUUCGGAUCGUAAAACUCUGUUAUUAGGGAAGAACAAAUGUGUAAGUAACUAUGCACGUCUUGACGGUACCUAAUCAGAAAGCCACGGCUAACUACGUG
Molecule: ribosomal RNA, 497 nt
Filed under: uncultured bacterium
Lineage: Bacteria
Description: partial 16S ribosomal RNA
Rfam family: Bacterial small subunit ribosomal RNA
Source: RNAcentral